UACGUAGGGUGCGAGCGUUAAUCGGCCUUCCUGUUCUUCCCUUUUUCUCAGGUGGCCGCGCAUGUCGAGUGUGAAAUCCCCGGGCUUAACUUGGGAAUUGCGCUCGAAACUACGUGGCUCGAGUGUGGCAGAGGAAGGUGGAAUUCCACGUGUAGCGGUGAAAUGCGUAGAGAUGUGGAGGAACACCGAUGGCGAAGGCAGCCUUCUGGGCCAACACUGACGCUCAUGCACGAAAGCGUGGGGAGCAAACAGG
Molecule: ribosomal RNA, 253 nt
Filed under: uncultured prokaryote
Description: partial 16S ribosomal RNA
Rfam family: Bacterial small subunit ribosomal RNA
Source: RNAcentral